GAUGAACGCUGGCUACAGGCUUAACACAUGCAAGUCGAGGGGAAACGCCGGGGAAGCUUGCUUCCCCGGGCGUCGACCGGCGCACGGGUGAGUAACGCGUAUCCAACCUGCCUCUGACUGAGGGAUAACCCGUCGAAAGUCGGCCUAAUACCUCAUGGUAUCGUCUGCGGGCAUCCAACGACGAUUAAAGAUUUCAUCGGUCAGGGAUGGGGAUGCGUCUGAUUAGCUUGUUGGCGGGGUAACGGCCCACCAAGGCUACGAUCAGUAGGGGUUCUGAGAGGAAGGUCCCCCACAUUGGAACUGAGACACGGUCCAAACUCCUACGGGAGGCAGCAGUGAGGAAUAGUGGUCAAUGGGCGAGAGCCUGAACCAGCCAAGUAGCGUGCAGGAAGACGGCCCUAUGGGUUGUAAACUGCUUUUAUGCGGGGAUAAAGUGAGGGACGUGUCCCUCAUUGCAGGUACCGCAUGAAUAAGGACCGGCUAAUUCCGU
RNAcentral lists this ribosomal RNA (490 nucleotides) under uncultured bacterium. RNAcentral describes it as "partial 16S ribosomal RNA". It matches the Rfam family "Bacterial small subunit ribosomal RNA", at positions 28 to 506 of the family's 1533-position model. The record is from RNAcentral.